UACGAAGGGGGCUAGCGUUGCUCGGAAUUACUGGGCGUAAAGCGCACGUAGGCGGCUCUUUAAGUCGGGGGUGAAAUCCUGGAGCUCAACUCCAGAACUGUCUUCGAUACUGAAGAGCUCGAGUCCGGGAGAGGUGAGUGGAACUGCGAGUGUAGAGGUGAAAUUCGUAGAUAUUCGCAAGAACACCAGUGGCGAAGGCGGCUCACUGGCCCGGUACUGACGCUGAGGUGCGAAAGCGUGGGGAGCAAACAGG
This 253-nucleotide ribosomal RNA is filed under the name uncultured bacterium. Its description in RNAcentral is "partial 16S ribosomal RNA". It matches the Rfam family "Bacterial small subunit ribosomal RNA", at positions 524 to 776 of the family's 1533-position model. The record is from RNAcentral.